UGAAUUAAGGAUUGUCAAUUGAGAAUAUAAAGCUUAAGGUAAGUGUGUAACAUUUUGGCUUAAGGUAAGCUGAAGGUAAUUAUGAGAAUAUACUGGUACAAAGAAAAAAAAUCAUAGGUACAACACUGAUACAUGAACAGUCACAAAACCUAAAGUUGGAACAUGUAGAAGCGGGGAGUAGGUUUGAGGGUAAGGCUACC
RNAcentral lists this long non-coding RNA (200 nucleotides) under Spirodela polyrhiza (greater duckweed). RNAcentral's name for it is "long non-coding RNA (SPOL_LNC000642)". Lineage: Eukaryota; Viridiplantae; Streptophyta; Magnoliopsida; Alismatales; Araceae. The record is from RNAcentral.